GUGUUCACUUCAGUAGCACAUAUGCUAAAAUUGGAAGGAUACACAGAAGAUUAGCAUGGCCCCUGCUCAAGGAUGACACACAAAUUUGUGAAGCAUUCCAUAUUUUU
Small nuclear RNA from Heterocephalus glaber (naked mole-rat), 107 nucleotides. NCBI's taxonomy places the organism in Eukaryota, Metazoa, Chordata, Mammalia, Rodentia, Bathyergidae. The record is from Ensembl.